CUGCUGCGUGUUGCCGUUCCUGAGGUCCUUCGCUGGCGGUGGCGGUAGCAGGGUGAGGCGCUGGCUAGAGCCAGAAGAGCUCGAAUGCCAUUUCCGUAGCCUUUUGCCAGUCUGGAGUGACUCUGAAGAUGAUGCUGUCCUGCUGUUAUACAGUUCUAAUAAUUGCAAGAGAUAGUGACUAACUGGAUGACGUGAAACAGACCUAGAGAAGCAGCAUGGGAAGCAGAGUCAGCACUUCUCUCAGAUUGGAAAUUGGAUCUAUCCCACAGGAAAAGGCAGUAUCCUGAUGCAAAGCCUUGUACAGUAAAAACUGGCCCGAUGCAGUACUAACAUCAAGGGAAUUACGUCAGAUAAAACUGGAUCCCAAAGCAGAGAACCUAAAAUAUAACCACAGGAGCUGGAAGCUACCACGUGAAAACUCUUAUUAACUACACUUACAUUGAAUUGGAGAGUACGACAAGAACAAUAUGGAGUGCAGAAGUGUGUUUUUUGCUCUGUAGAAUCUCUCAAUGUUUAAAUUAUUUUUGAUAUUUUCAUCUCUUAAUGCUAUGGACAAGAUAGACAUGAAAAAUAUAUAUGAGCAAAGUUAUGAUAAUCUUAAAUUAUGCAAAAUUGUUUUGAGUCUGAAGUAUUUUUGAAGCUAGUGAAAUACUCAGACCCAGUCUGAAAUUGUUCACAGAUUAUAUAUUUCUUAGGGCAGUCGAUUAAUCGCAGUUAACUCACGCGGUUAACUCAAAAAAA
Long non-coding RNA from Terrapene triunguis (Three-toed box turtle), 741 nucleotides. RefSeq lists it as uncharacterized. The transcript is spliced from 3 exons. The record is from RefSeq and is a predicted model, not a curated record. NCBI's taxonomy places the organism in Eukaryota, Metazoa, Chordata, Testudines, Emydidae.